Molecule: ribosomal RNA, 301 nt
Filed under: uncultured bacterium
Lineage: Bacteria
Description: partial 16S ribosomal RNA
Rfam family: Bacterial small subunit ribosomal RNA
Source: RNAcentral
CAGUCGCCGCGGGAAUACGAAGGGGGCUAGCGUUGCUCGGAAUGACUGGGCGUAAAGGGCGCGUGGGCGGCGGCCAAAGUCAGGCGUGAAAUUCCCGGACUCAACCUGGGAAUGGCAAUGGAUACUGGCGAGCUAGAGUGUGUCAGAGGAUGGUGGAAUUCCCGGUGUAGCGGUGAAAUGCGUAGAGAUCGGGAGGAACAUCAGUGGCGAAGGCAGCCCCCUGGGCCAAUACUGACGCUCAUGCACGAAAGCGUGGGGAGCAAACAGGAUUAGAUACCCCGGUAGUCCCUGUCUCUUAUAC